This 460-nucleotide ribosomal RNA is filed under the name uncultured bacterium. RNAcentral's name for it is "partial 16S ribosomal RNA". It matches the Rfam family "Bacterial small subunit ribosomal RNA", at positions 338 to 795 of the family's 1533-position model. The record is from RNAcentral.
CCUACGGGAGGCAGCAGUGAGGAAUAUUGGUCAAUGGACGAGAGUCUGAACCAGCCAAGUAGCGUGAAGGAUGACUGCCCUAUGGGUUGUAAACUUCUUUUAUAUGGGAAUAAAAUGUUCCACGUGUGGGAUUUUGUAUGUACCAUAUGAAUAAGGAUCGGCUAACUCCGUGCCAGCAGCCGCGGUAAUACGGAGGAUCCGAGCGUUAUCCGGAUUUAUUGGGUUUAAAGGGAGCGUAGGUGGAUUGUUAAGUCAGUUGUGAAAGUUUGCGGCGCAACCGUAAAAUUGCAGUUGAAACUGGCAGUCUUGAGUACAGUAGAGGUGGGCGGAAUUCGUGGUGUAGCGGUGAAAUGCUUAGAUAUCACGAAGAACGCCGAUUGCGAAGGCAGUUCACUGGACUGCAACUGACACUGAGGCUCGAAAGUGUGGGUAUCAAACAGGAUUAGAUACCCGAGUAGUC